AAAUUGAAGAGUUUGAUCAUGGCUCAGAUUGAACGCUGGCGGCAGGCCUAACACAUGCAAGUCGAACGGUAACAGGAAUCAGCUUGCUGAUUCGCUGACGAGUGGCGGACGGGUGAGUAAUGUCUGGGAAACUGCCUGAUGGAGGGGGAUAACUACUGGAAACGGUAGCUAAUACCGCAUAACGUCGCAAGACCAAAGAGGGGGACCUUCGGGCCUCUUGCCAUCGGAUGUGCCCAGAUGGGAUUAGCUAGUAGGUGGGGUAACGGCUCACCUAGGCGACGAUCCCUAGCUGGUCUGAGAGGAUGACCAGCCACACUGGAACUGAGACACGGUCCAGACUCCUACGGGAGGCAGCAGUGGGGAAUAUUGCACAAUGGGCGCAAGCCUGAUGCAGCCAUGCCGCGUGUAUGAAGAAGGCCUUCGGGUUGUAAAGUACUUUCAGCGGGGAGGAAGGGAGUAAAGUUAAUACCUUUGCUCAUUGACGUUACCCGCAGAAGAAGCACCGGCUAACUCCGUGCCAGCAGCCGCGGUAAUACGGAGGGUGCAAGCGUUAAUCGGAAUUACUGGGCGUAAAGCGCACGCAGGCGGUUUGUUAAGUCAGAUGUGAAAUCCCCGGGCUCAACCUGGGAACUGCAUCUGAUACUGGCAAGCUUGAGUCUCGUAGAGGGGGGUAGAAUUCCAGGUGUAGCGGUGAAAUGCGUAGAGAUCUGGAGGAAUACCGGUGGCGAAGGCGGCCCCCUGGACGAAGACUGACGCUCAGGUGCGAAAGCGUGGGGAGCAAACAGGAUUAGAUACCCUGGUAGUCCACGCCGUAAACGAUGUCGACUUGGAGGUUGUGCCCUUGAGGCGUGGCUUCCGGAGCUAACGCGUUAAGUCGACCGCCUGGGGAGUACGGCCGCAAGGUUAAAACUCAAAUGAAUUGACGGGGGCCCGCACAAGCGGUGGAGCAUGUGGUUUAAUUCGAUGCAACGCGAAGAACCUUACCUGGUCUUGACAUCCACGGAAGUUUUCAGAGAUGAGAAUGUGCCUUCGGGAACCGUGAGACAGGUGCUGCAUGGCUGUCGUCAGCUCGUGUUGUGAAAUGUUGGGUUAAGUCCCGCAACGAGCGCAACCCUUAUCCUUUGUUGCCAGCGGUCCGGCCGGGAACUCAAAGGAGACUGCCAGUGAUAAACUGGAGGAAGGUGGGGAUGACGUCAAGUCAUCAUGGCCCUUACGACCAGGGCUACACACGUGCUACAAUGGCGCAUACAAAGAGAAGCGACCUCGCGAGAGCAAGCGGACCUCAUAAAGUGCGUCGUAGUCCGGAUUGGAGUCUGCAACUCGACUCCAUGAAGUCGGAAUCGCUAGUAAUCGUGGAUCAGAAUGCCACGGUGAAUACGUUCCCGGGCCUUGUACACACCGCCCGUCACACCAUGGGAGUGGGUUGCAAAAGAAGUAGGUAGCUUAACCUUCGGGAGGGCGCUUACCACUUUGUGAUUCAUGACUGGGGUGAAGUCGUAACAAGGUAACCGUAGGGGAACCUGCGGUUGGAUCACCUCCUUACCUUAAAGAA
Molecule: ribosomal RNA, 1552 nt
Filed under: Escherichia coli
Lineage: Bacteria; Pseudomonadati; Pseudomonadota; Gammaproteobacteria; Enterobacterales; Enterobacteriaceae
Also listed under: 2 other names
Description: bacterial SSU rRNA
Rfam family: Bacterial small subunit ribosomal RNA
Source: RNAcentral